Molecule: unclassified non-coding RNA, 404 nt
Filed under: fungal sp.
Lineage: Eukaryota; Fungi
Description: partial internal transcribed spacer region
Rfam family: Eukaryotic small subunit ribosomal RNA (bases 1-46)
Source: RNAcentral
AAGUCGUAACAAGGUUUCCGUAGGUGAACCUGCGGAAGGAUCAUUAACAACAUGGUGCAGAGGUCUCGAAUCAGAACUUUCCUCCCACUUGAUUUACCGAGAUUGCUGCUUACACACACAAGCUACAAGAGCAGGACUGAAAGUUCACGGGGGUUUAACGUUUGGUUACAAUUGAGCGGUAGAAGCAGUGGCAUGGCGUCCCAAGCCUCCAAGUGAAUGUCAGUGUCAUUUUGGAACAAGUGAGGGAUAACGCUUCUCGGUUGCUAGAGGUCGCUCACCGACCGGCAGACAUGUCACAGGGCCUUGCGCCCCCUAAUCACCCCUUGCCUAUCACCCCCGCCUCCUGAUGAAAGUCCGAGGCAAAAAAAACCGAACAACUGUUAACAAUGGAUAUCUUGGUUCUC